Molecule: unclassified non-coding RNA, 200 nt
Filed under: Russula sp.
Lineage: Eukaryota; Fungi; Basidiomycota; Agaricomycetes; Russulales; Russulaceae
Description: partial internal transcribed spacer 2
Source: RNAcentral
UUAAGUUCAGCGGGUAGUCUCACCCGAUUUGAGGUCAAGGUUUUUUGUGGGUCCAGCCUCCCGCCAACGUAAAUGGCGACGACCGGAGCACCAUCAUUGUCCGUGAGACAGUUAGGAGCGGACGUCCAGAAAACAGUGCCAAAUCCAAAACGUAGAAGCAUCUUAUCACGUCAAGGAUCAGCAAAGCGGACCCCACUAAU